GGCAUCAAAAAUGGGAUUAAUCCCUCUCCAGGCAUGCCCAGAGGUGACCUGGUGGCUGUCACAGCCUUGUCUUUGGGCAGAGGCGGAGGAGUGGGCACCGAGGCAGCAGGUUGCUGCCCACCCCAAGGCAUGAGAGGGGGUGAGUGGGUGCAUCUGAAUAAAAUACUAAGGCAACAGAAGGAGGGCAGAGCUGGUAAAAAUGUCCAGAGCAUCUGUGGCAAUGUGGGCAAUGAGGUGACGCCGCAAGUGGCUGUCACUUAUUUUGAGGCUUAUUGUCUCUAGUUUGCUUAAGAAACCUUGUUCUUUCUGUCCCAGGAGCCCUCUUAGGAGUUGAAGCAUUUCUGCAACCCAAAUGUCUCCUCUGAUCUGGCUCCAGCAGGGACACAGAAGCGAGUGCAGGGAGCAGAAUGGGACCCGGUGUGAGGAGGGGGAGCUGCUGGCCUCCGUGGGCUGAAAACAUCUGAUUUAAAGGUAUGUCUUCCCAUGGGAUAAUAAUCUCUCCGAGCAAGAUCUUCCUGAGCGAAGCCGGGAGGAGCAGCCAGAUGCCAGCGUGGAUGUAUGAUGAGCUGUGGACUUCCCCCUACCAUCUGAGCUCUGUUACCAGCCCGCAGCGCUCCUCCUGCCGACACCGAGCGCCUGUUCUUGCCGUCGCCCCCACACCCGGCGUCGUUAUGGUGCUGCCGUAUGGAGGGCUCAGCCGGCGACGUCUCGCUCACCGGGGCAUGGCCAGGGACCUUCUCCAUCCCUCCUGCAGCAGGGACCCCCGGCCAUGCAGGACAGUUGCCCCUGUGCCCGUGGGUUUGCAGCUUCGUGGUGAGCGUUUGCGACCUGAACUUUGCAGCGUUGUGCUGAUUCACGACGGCUUGUCACCGAAACUGCCUGAAACUGACAGAAAAAGGGACGCUGACUCAUGUGUUUGCCUUCCCCAAGCGGGGAGAAAUGUGAAAGGUGAACAAAGUAUUUAACGGGUGAUAAUUACAUUCGGUGCUGAAAAAUUCAAUCCAUAUUAAUAAGCCGGUGUGUUAUUACUAAUAGAGGCCUUUUACAAUUUAAAAAAAAAAAUAAAUAGUAUUUAAGGUUUUUAACCUUGACA
RNAcentral lists this long non-coding RNA (1093 nucleotides) under Calidris pugnax (ruff). RNAcentral's name for it is "lncRNA (ENSCPUG00000010565.1)". The record is from RNAcentral. Lineage: Eukaryota; Metazoa; Chordata; Aves; Charadriiformes; Scolopacidae.